RNAcentral lists this ribosomal RNA (305 nucleotides) under uncultured bacterium. Its description in RNAcentral is "bacterial SSU rRNA". It matches the Rfam family "Bacterial small subunit ribosomal RNA", at positions 333 to 636 of the family's 1533-position model. The record is from RNAcentral.
UAUUCUCUACGGGGCGCAGCAGUGAGGAAUAUUGGUCAAUGGGCGGGAGCUGAACCAGCCAAGUCGCGUGAGGGAAGACGGUCCUAUGGAUUGUAAACCUCUUUAGGCGGGGAGCAAUGCCGGGCACGCGUGCCCGGAGGGAGAGGACCCGCAGAAUAAGCAUCGGCUAACUCCGGGCCAGCAGCCGCGGUAAUACGGAGGAUGCGAGGGUUAUCCGGAUUUAUUGGGUUUAAAGGGUGCGUAGGCGGAUUUUUAAGUCAGCGGGAAAAUGUCCGGGCUCAACCCGGGCCGGCCGUUGAAACUGG